This 1713-nucleotide ribosomal RNA is filed under the name Campylobacter coli. RNAcentral's name for it is "partial 23S ribosomal RNA". It matches the Rfam family "Bacterial large subunit ribosomal RNA", at positions 1 to 1732 of the family's 2925-position model. The record is from RNAcentral. Lineage: Bacteria; Pseudomonadati; Campylobacterota; Epsilonproteobacteria; Campylobacterales; Campylobacteraceae.
AGGUAAGCUACUAAGAGCGAAUGGUGGAUGCCUUGACUGGUAAAGGCGAUGAAGGACGUACUAGACUGCGAUAAGCUACGGGGAGCUGUCAAGAAGCUUUGAUCCGUAGAUUUCCGAAUGGGGCAACCCAAUGUAUAGAGAUAUACAUUACCUAUAUAGGAGCGAACGAGGGGAAUUGAAACAUCUUAGUACCCUCAGGAAAAGAAAUCAAUAGAGAUUGCGUCAGUAGCGGCGAGCGAAAGCGCAAGAGGGCAAACCCAGUGCUUGCACUGGGGGUUGUAGGACUGCAAUGUGCAAGAGGUAAGUUUAGCAGAACAUUCUGGAAAGUAUAACCAUAGAGGGUGAUAGUCCCGUAUGCGAAAAACAAACCUUAGCUAGCAGUAUCCUGAGUAGGGCGGGACACGAGGAAUCCUGUCUGAAUCUGGGUCGACCACGAUCCAACCCUAAAUACUAAUACCAGAUCGAUAGUGCACAAGUACCGUGAGGGAAAGGUGAAAAGAACUGAGGUGAUCAGAGUGAAAUAGAACCUGAAACCAUUUGCUUACAAUCAUUCAGAGCCCUAUGUAGCAAUACAGGGUGAUGGACUGCCUUUUGCAUAAUGAGCCUGCGAGUUGUGGUGUCUGGCAAGGUUAAGCAAACGCGAAGCCGUAGCGAAAGCGAGUCUGAAUAGGGCGCUUAGUCAGAUGCUGCAGACCCGAAACGAAGUGAUCUAUCCAUGAGCAAGUUGAAGCUAGUGUAAGAACUAGUGGAGGACUGAACCCAUAGGCGUUGAAAAGCCCCGGGAUGACUUGUGGAUAGGGGUGAAAGGCCAAUCAAACUUCGUGAUAGCUGGUUCUCUCCGAAAUAUAUUUAGGUAUAGCGUUGUGUCGUAAUAUAAGGGGGUAGAGCACUGAAUGGGCUAGGGCAUACACCAAUGUACCAAACCCUAUCAAACUCCGAAUACCUUAUAUGUAAUCACAGCAGUCAGGCGGCGAGUGAUAAAAUCCGUCGUCAAGAGGGAAACAACCCAGACUACCAGCUAAGGUCCCUAAAUCUUACUUAAGUGGAAAACGAUGUGAAGUUACUUAAACAACCAGGAGGUUGGCUUAGAAGCAGCCAUCCUUUAAAGAAAGCGUAAUAGCUCACUGGUCUAGUGAUUUUGCGCGGAAAAUAUAACGGGGCUAAAGUAAGUACCGAAGCUGUAGACUUAGUUUACUAAGUGGUAGGAGAGCGUUCUAUUUGCGUCGAAGGUAUACCGGUAAGGAGUGCUGGAGCGAAUAGAAGUGAGCAUGCAGGCAUGAGUAGCGAUAAUUAAUGUGAGAAUCAUUAACGCCGUAAACCCAAGGUUUCCUACGCGAUGCUCGUCAUCGUAGGGUUAGUCGGGUCCUAAGUCGAGUCCGAAAGGGGUAGACGAUGGCAAAUUGGUUAAUAUUCCAAUACCAACAUUAGUGUGCGAUGGAAGGACGCUUAGGGCUAAGGGGGCUAGCGGAUGGAAGUGCUAGUCUAAGGUCGUAGGAGGUUAUACAGGCAAAUCCGUAUAACAAUACUCCGAGAACUGAAAGGCUUUUUGAAGUCUUCGGAUGGAUAGAAGAACCCCUGAUGCCGUCGAGCCAAGAAAAGUUUCUAAGUUUAGCUAAUGUUGCCCGUACCGUAAACCGACACAGGUGGGUGGGAUGAGUAUUCUAAGGCGCGUGGAAGAACUCUCUUUAAGGAACUCUGCAAAAUAGCACCGUA